RNAcentral lists this transfer RNA (89 nucleotides) under Schwartzia sp. (in: firmicutes). RNAcentral describes it as "tRNA-Ser". It matches the Rfam family "tRNA". From Rfam's summary of the family: Transfer RNA (tRNA) molecules are approximately 80 nucleotides in length. Their secondary structure includes four short double-helical elements and three loops (D, anti-codon, and T loops). The record is from RNAcentral. Lineage: Bacteria; Bacillati; Bacillota; Negativicutes; Selenomonadales; Selenomonadaceae.
GGAGAGGUGUCCGAGUGGUCGAAGGUGCUUGACUCGAAAUCAAGUGUGGUGAUGAGCCACCGCGGGUUCGAAUCCCGCCCUCUCCGCCA